GGGACCUUGGCGCAGUUGGCUAGCGCGCAGGUCUCAUAAUUCUUAAACUAUGAUCCGGUGUAAAUACCGGAGUAAUCCUGAGGUCGGGAGUUCGAGCCUCCCAGGUCCCA
Molecule: transfer RNA, 110 nt
Filed under: Copromyces sp. CBS 386.78
Lineage: Eukaryota; Fungi; Ascomycota; Sordariomycetes; Sordariales; Sordariaceae
Description: tRNA-Met
Rfam family: tRNA
About the family: Transfer RNA (tRNA) molecules are approximately 80 nucleotides in length. Their secondary structure includes four short double-helical elements and three loops (D, anti-codon, and T loops). Further hydrogen bonds mediate the characteristic L-shaped molecular structure. tRNAs have two regions of fundamental functional importance: the anti-codon, which is responsible for specific mRNA codon recognition, and the 3' end, to which the tRNAs corresponding amino acid is attached (by aminoacyl-tRNA synthetases). tRNAs cope with the degeneracy of the genetic code in two manners: having more than one tRNA (with a specific anti-codon) for a particular amino acid; and 'wobble' base-pairing, i.e. permitting non-standard base-pairing at the 3rd anti-codon position.
Source: RNAcentral